AUCCAGCUGAUGAGUCCCAAAUAGGACGAAACGUGCGCCUUGGAU
Non-coding RNA from Schistosoma margrebowiei, 45 nucleotides. NCBI's taxonomy places the organism in Eukaryota, Metazoa, Platyhelminthes, Trematoda, Strigeidida, Schistosomatidae. The record is from Rfam.